RNAcentral lists this unclassified non-coding RNA (290 nucleotides) under Hevea brasiliensis (rubber tree). Lineage: Eukaryota; Viridiplantae; Streptophyta; Magnoliopsida; Malpighiales; Euphorbiaceae. The record is from RNAcentral.
GAACGAACAAUCUUUUCACAGCGAGCAUCAGUCUAUUUUUUAAAAUUUAAAAUUAUACGUAUUGAUAUCAUAUUCCAAAUCAGCCAUUCAAACACCUGCUAAAUAAUCAAAAUGGGGAAAAGCAGAAGAAAUUAAAAAUUACCUUUGCUAUCCAAUCACAAGCGCCAUUAGUUAAAUUAAUAUCCAAGUCCUUUAAAAUCUCGGCUUUAAGUUUUUCAUAAACCUCCAUGAAUUCUGCCCUAAAAUCACUCAUUUUUCAAUGUUGUUUUCGUUUGUUUUAGAGGAGGAGA